GUUCGCUGCCGCAUAGGCAGCUCAGAAA
Rhodanobacter sp. SCN 67-45 is the source of this 28-nucleotide non-coding RNA. The record is from Rfam. NCBI's taxonomy places the organism in Bacteria, Pseudomonadati, Pseudomonadota, Gammaproteobacteria, Lysobacterales, Rhodanobacteraceae.